GAUGAACGCUAGCUACAGGCUUAACACAUGCAAGUCGAGGGGCAGCAGGACGAUAGCUUGCUAUUGUCGCUGGCGACCGGCGCACGGGUGAGUAACGCGUAUCCAACCUUCCCCUUAGUAGAGGAUAGCCCGGCGAAAGUCGGAUUAAUACUCUAUGUUGUAUUUUGAGGACAUCUGACGAAUACCAAAGAUUUAUCGCUUAAAGAGGGGUCUGCGUCCGAUUAGGUAGUAGGUGGGGUAACGGCUUACCUAGCCGACGAUCGGUAACCGGUCUGAGAGGAUGAACGGUCACAUUGGGACUGAGACACGGCCCAGACUCC
Molecule: ribosomal RNA, 320 nt
Filed under: uncultured Prevotella sp.
Lineage: Bacteria; Pseudomonadati; Bacteroidota; Bacteroidia; Bacteroidales; Prevotellaceae
Description: bacterial SSU rRNA
Rfam family: Bacterial small subunit ribosomal RNA
Source: RNAcentral